Molecule: ribosomal RNA, 310 nt
Filed under: uncultured Cryobacterium sp.
Lineage: Bacteria; Bacillati; Actinomycetota; Actinomycetes; Micrococcales; Microbacteriaceae
Description: bacterial SSU rRNA
Rfam family: Bacterial small subunit ribosomal RNA
Source: RNAcentral
GACGAACGCUGGCGGCGUGCUUAACACAUGCAAGUCGAACGAUGAAAGCUGGAGCUUGCUUUAGCUGGAUUAGUGGCGAACGGGUGAGUAACACGUGAGCAAUCUGCCCCUGACUCUGGGAUAACUUCGAGAAAUCGAAGCUAAUACCGGAUACGACCCUUCCAGGCAUCUGGUGAGGGUGGAAAGAACUUCGGUCAGGGAUGAGCUCGCGGCCUAUCAGCUAGUUGGUGAGGUAAUGGCUCACCAAGGCGACGACGGGUAGCCGGCCUGAGAGGGUGACCGGCCACACUGGGACUGAGACACGGCCCAG